RNAcentral lists this ribosomal RNA (471 nucleotides) under uncultured bacterium. Its description in RNAcentral is "bacterial SSU rRNA". It matches the Rfam family "Bacterial small subunit ribosomal RNA", at positions 32 to 507 of the family's 1533-position model. The record is from RNAcentral.
GACAACGCUGGCGGCGUGCUUAACACAUGCAAGUCGAACGGAGAUAUAUAAAUAGUUUACUAUGAAUAUAUUUUAGUGGCGGACGGGUGAGUAACACGUGGGCAACCUGCCUUAGAGUGGGGGAUAACAACGAGAAAUCGUUGCUAAUACCGCAUGAAAUUAGAUUAUCGCAUGAUAGUUUAAUGAAAGGAGAAAUCCGCUAAAAGAUGGGCCCGCGCCUGAUUAGCUAGUUGGUGAGGUAAAAGCUCACCAAGGCGACGAUCAGUAGCCGAUCUGAGAGGAUGACCGGCCACACUGGAACUGAGACACGGUCCAGACUCCUACGGGAGGCAGCAGUGGGGAAUAUUGCACAAUGGGGGAAACCCUGAUGCAGCAACGCCGCGUGGAGGAAGAAGGUUUUCGGAUUGUAAACUCCUGUCUUUUGGGACGAUAAUGACGGUACCAAAAGAGGAAGCCACGGCUAACUACGUG